AACGAACGCUGGCGGCAUGCCUAACACAUGCAAGUCGAACGAGACCUUCGGGUCUAGUGGCGCACGGGUGCGUAACGCGUGGGAAUCUGCCCUUGGGUUCGGAAUAACAGUUGGAAACGACUGCUAAUACCGGAUGAUGACGUAAGUCCAAAGAUUUAUCGCCCAGGGAUGAGCCCGCGUAGGAUUAGCUAGUUGGUGGGGUAAAGGCCUACCAAGGCGACGAUCCUUAGCUGGUCUGAGAGGAUGAUCAGCCACACUGGGACUGAGACACGGCCCAGACCCCUACGGGAGGGAGCAGGGGGGAAUAUUGGAAAAUGGGGGAAAGCCGGACCCAGAAAUGCCGCGUGAGGUAUAAAGGCCUUAGGGUUGAAAAGCUCUUUUACCCGGGAUGAUAAGGAAAGGCCCGGGAGAAAAAGCCCGGGCAAACUCCGG
RNAcentral lists this ribosomal RNA (432 nucleotides) under uncultured bacterium. Its description in RNAcentral is "partial 16S ribosomal RNA". It matches the Rfam family "Bacterial small subunit ribosomal RNA", at positions 29 to 506 of the family's 1533-position model. The record is from RNAcentral.